GAUGAACGCUGGCGGCGUGCCUAAUACAUGCAAGUCGAGCGAACGGACGAGAAGCUUGCUUCUCUGAUGUUAGCGGCGGACGGGUGAGUAACACGUGGAUAACCUACCUAUAAGACUGGGAUAACUUCGGGAAACCGGAGCUAAUACCGGAUAAUAUUUUGAACCGCAUGGUUCAAAAGUGAAAGACGGUCUUGCUGUCACUUAUAGAUGGAUCCGCGCUGCAUUAGCUAGUUGGUAAGGUAACGGCUUACCAAGGCAACGAUGCAUAGCCGAACUGAGAGGGUGAUCGGCCACACUGGAACUGAGACACGGUCCAGACUCCUACGGGAGGCAGCAGUAGGGAAUCUUCCGCAAUGGGCGAAAGCCUGACGGAGCAACGCCGCGUGUGUGAUGAAGGUCUUCGGAUCGUAAAACUCUGUUAUUAGGGAAGAACAUAUGUGUAAGUAACUGUGCACAUCUUGACGGUACCUAAUCAGAAAGCCACGGCUAACUACGUG
RNAcentral lists this ribosomal RNA (497 nucleotides) under uncultured bacterium. RNAcentral describes it as "partial 16S ribosomal RNA". It matches the Rfam family "Bacterial small subunit ribosomal RNA", at positions 28 to 507 of the family's 1533-position model. The record is from RNAcentral.